Molecule: ribosomal RNA, 253 nt
Filed under: uncultured bacterium
Lineage: Bacteria
Description: partial 16S ribosomal RNA
Rfam family: Bacterial small subunit ribosomal RNA
Source: RNAcentral
UACGGAGGAUCCGAGCGUUAUCCGGAUUUAUUGGGUUUAAAGGGUGCGUAGGCGGUUUGAUAAGUUAGAGGUGAAAUGUCGGGGCUCAACCCCGAAACUGCCUCUAAUACUGUUGGACUAGAGAAUAGUUGCGGUAGGCGGAAUGUAUGGUGUAGCGGUGAAAUGCUUAGAGAUCAUACAGAACACCGAUUGCGAAGGCAGCUUACCAAACUAUAUCUGACAUUGAGGCACGAAAGCGUGGGUAGCAAACAGG